Long non-coding RNA from Hippocampus zosterae (dwarf seahorse), 575 nucleotides. RefSeq lists it as uncharacterized. NCBI's taxonomy places the organism in Eukaryota, Metazoa, Chordata, Actinopteri, Syngnathiformes, Syngnathidae. The record is from RefSeq and is a predicted model, not a curated record. The transcript is spliced from 3 exons.
GGACAACCUGGGCGUCACUGUGUGUGUGUGUGUGUGUCAGCAGGGGUGCAGCUAGAGAUUACAAAGCCCACCUCAACACACGGUGCAGGAGGAGCGUCAUAACGAGGUUCUACAUGGUUCUGAAGGCCCCUGGAAGACUAAUGAACUGGGCGAAGCUUUCCUUCACGGCGUCCACGUCGUCCGUGCUGCUGCCCUCCAGGAUCCAACGCUUGCCCCGGGCCAGCGGCUCCAGCUCAAAGUACUUCUUGACCUGUACACACAAACAGACAAGCUCUAAAGAGUUUUGCGGGGGGUGCUAGAGCCUAUCGUAGCCAUCUUCGGGCAGUAGGCGGGGGACACCCUGGACCGGUUGCCAGCCAAUCGCAGGGCACACAGAGACGAACAACAACCCAACUCACACCUCUGGACAAUUGAGAGUGUUCAAUCAGCCUGCCAUGCAUGUUUUGGGGAAUGUGGGAGGAAACCGGAGUACCCGGAGAAAACCCACGCAUGCCCGGGGAGAACAUGCAAACUCCACACAGGAAGGCCGGAGCCGGGAUCGAACCAACGACGUCUGCACUGUGAGGUUGACGCAC